RNAcentral lists this long non-coding RNA (200 nucleotides) under Elaeis guineensis (African oil palm). Its description in RNAcentral is "long non-coding RNA (EGUI_LNC052744)". The record is from RNAcentral. Lineage: Eukaryota; Viridiplantae; Streptophyta; Magnoliopsida; Arecales; Arecaceae.
ACCGCCAUGGUGACUUGCAAGCAACUCACUGCACUUAGGCACUGGACUACCUGAAUUUCUAAUUCAGUGACGGAAGGCUGUUGGGUGUAGUCAAGUACUUGACUUGUCGGUGUGUGUGUCAAGAUGGGAUUGACCACUCCAGUUUAGGAGUUGUGUACAGUCAUGUUUCAAUUUAGCAAAAUCUUGGCUAGGGUAGUCCU